CAGUAGCCGCGGGAAUACGUAGGGUGCGAGCGUUAAUCGGAAUUACUGGGCGUAAAGCGUGCGCAGGCGGUUUUGUAAGACAGGCGUGAAAUCCCCGGGCUCAACCUGGGAAUGGCGCUUGUGACUGCAAAGCUAGAGUGCGGCAGAGGGGGAUGGAAUUCCGCGUGUAGCAGUGAAAUGCGUAGAUAUGCGGAGGAACACCGAUGGCGAAGGCAAUCCCCUGGGCCUGCACUGACGCUCAUGCACGAAAGCGUGGGGAGCAAACGGGAUUAGAUACCCCCGUAGUCCCUGUCUCUUAUAC
Molecule: ribosomal RNA, 301 nt
Filed under: uncultured bacterium
Lineage: Bacteria
Description: partial 16S ribosomal RNA
Rfam family: Bacterial small subunit ribosomal RNA
Source: RNAcentral